This 119-nucleotide small nuclear RNA is filed under the name Crocodylus porosus (Australian saltwater crocodile). RNAcentral's name for it is "U2 spliceosomal RNA (ENSCPRG00005018579.1)". It matches the Rfam family "U2 spliceosomal RNA", at positions 67 to 185 of the family's 192-position model. From Rfam's summary of the family: U2 is a small nuclear RNA (snRNA) component of the spliceosome (involved in pre-mRNA splicing). Complementary binding between U2 snRNA (in an area lying towards the 5' end but 3' to hairpin I) and the branchpoint sequence (BPS) of the intron results the bulging out of an unpaired adenosine, on the BPS, which initiates a nucleophilic attack at the intronic 5' splice site, thus starting the first of two transesterification reactions that mediate splicing. The record is from RNAcentral. Lineage: Eukaryota; Metazoa; Chordata; Crocodylia; Crocodylidae.
UGUCCUCCAUCGGAGGUCUAUAUUGAGCAGAUUCUUUUUGGUGUUGGGUGGUAGCACUGGAGCUUGCUCCAUCCACUCCAUGCAUUGACCUGGUAUUACAGUGCUUCCAGGACUGGUGC